UGCGCUUGUAAGAAUGCGGAGACAGCAAAUGCGUGUGUAUGCAUCCAAAACGAUUGUAAAAAUGAAAACAAUCGUAUCGGACGUUGUUGCUGUUAUAAUAAGUUCGGAUCACUCACCUGCUCUAGUUGCUCAUAAGUGUACAUACGAGAUAACGUCGCGUUGCGGUAUUCCUCGAUUUAUCGAUUCGAUAGCCGCUUUGAUUAUACAGUUGACUCGAUAGCGUGACGACGAUUUGUGAUUUCAGUUUCGUAUGUAGUAAUGUUAACUGUCCGAAAAAGACAAAAAAAAAAA
Non-coding RNA from Cinara cedri, 291 nucleotides. NCBI's taxonomy places the organism in Eukaryota, Metazoa, Arthropoda, Insecta, Hemiptera, Aphididae. The record is from the annotation of a GenBank genome assembly.